CUAUAUAGUAAGUAAAAGCUGCUAUAUGAUUAAGUAAUAUGAAAAUUUCGUGGUGUAUGACCUUUUUUCAUAGAAGUGUAAAAGGACCGAAUCCCGUGAACUGCAAUAUUUUAUUUAUUGAUGUUUGAUAUUAAUGGAGGAUCGGGAAUGUAGUUACCGGCGCGGCGCGGCAGCCACGAUGAGAGGGUUCUCGUGUCGUGCCGCUUUAUCGAAGUGGUCCGAACCGUACCGAGAAUUACCGAAUUUAUACUAUGUCAAGAAAAGGGAUGUCCAACAUGCGUGUUUGAGGAUGUUGUUGAAUCGUUUUUUGUUCAAAUUGAUUAAAAUUUAAAAUAAAAAAAAAGAAAAGAAUUAAAUUUAAUAAAAAUAAAGUAUAACUUCUUA
Molecule: long non-coding RNA, 384 nt
Organism: Bombyx mori (domestic silkworm)
Lineage: Eukaryota; Metazoa; Arthropoda; Insecta; Lepidoptera; Bombycidae
Exons: 2
Source: RefSeq, a predicted model, not a curated record